Molecule: ribosomal RNA, 603 nt
Filed under: Triticum aestivum (bread wheat)
Lineage: Eukaryota; Viridiplantae; Streptophyta; Magnoliopsida; Poales; Poaceae
Description: partial small subunit ribosomal RNA
Source: RNAcentral
AUGUUUGAUCGCCUCACUGAUAUCACAAAUGAGCUCCAUGCACUCGGCGCCACAAAUGAGCUUCAUGCACUCGGCGCCACUGAAAUCACCAAGCAUGGAAUCAUCAAGACACUCUUGAGAUCACUCGGCAGCUCAUUUGACACCUUGGCCCUGAUGAUUCAAGAACGCCCUGACUUCAAGACUCUCGAUCCGUCCGACAUACUUGAGAGGCUCAACACAUAUGAAUUCCAGCUAUCUGAGAAACGAGACAUCUAUGGCCCCAACUAUGGCCGAGCUCGCGCCUUGAAGGCAAAUGUUGUUUCCUCGUCUGAAGAAGAAUCUGACUGCAGUUCUGAGGAUCCUGAAGACAUUGGAAAGGAGCUUGCUAUACUCAUGAAGAAGUUCCAAAGGUUCCCUAGGAAGAAAGGCUCCAGACAGUCUUCAAGAUCCAGCUCAAGAAAUGAUGAAGCUUCCUCCCGUGACUACAAGAAGAGAACGUGUCACAAGUGCAAGAAACCUGGUCACUACAUCUCUGAAUGUCCUCAAUGGGAUAAUGAGAACAACAACAAGAAGAAGAGCAAGGAAUAUGAUUUUGAUGACAAGAAAAAGAAUAAAUCCUCAUAG